This 460-nucleotide ribosomal RNA is filed under the name uncultured bacterium. Its description in RNAcentral is "partial 16S ribosomal RNA". It matches the Rfam family "Bacterial small subunit ribosomal RNA", at positions 338 to 795 of the family's 1533-position model. The record is from RNAcentral.
CCUACGGGAUGCUGCAGUGAGGAAUAUUGGUCAAUGGGCGCGAGCCUGAACCAGCCAAGUCGCGUGAGGGAUGACGGCCCUACGGGUUGUAAACCUCUUUUGCAGGGGAGCAACGGGCGCCACGUGUGGCGCCACUGAGAGUACACGGAGAAAAAGCAUCGGCUAACUCCGUGCCAGCAGCCGCGGUAAUACGGAGGAUGCGAGCGUUAUCCCGAGUUAUUGGGUUUAAAGGGUGCUUAGGCGGAUCGUUAAGUCAGUGGUCAAAUUGAGGGGCUCAACCCCUUCCCGCCAUUGAAACUGGCGUUCUUGAGUGGAAGAGAAGUAUGUGGAAUGCGUGGUGUAGCGGUGAAAUGCAUAGAGAUCACGCAGAACCCCGAUUGCGAAGGCAGCAUGCCGGCUUCCGACUGACGCUGAAGCACGAAAGCGUGGGGAUCGAACAGGAUUAGAUACCCGAGUAGUC